RNAcentral lists this ribosomal RNA (497 nucleotides) under uncultured bacterium. RNAcentral's name for it is "partial 16S ribosomal RNA". It matches the Rfam family "Bacterial small subunit ribosomal RNA", at positions 28 to 507 of the family's 1533-position model. The record is from RNAcentral.
GAUGAACGCUGGCGGCGUGCCUAAUACAUGCAAGUCGAGCGAACAGAUGAGGUGCUUGUACCUCUGACGUUAGCGGCGAACGGGUGAGUAACACGUGGAUAACCUACCUAUAAGACUGGGAUAACUUCGGGAAACCGGAGCUAAUACCGGAUAAUAUAUUGAACCGCAUGGUUCAAUAGUGAAAGACGGAUUUGCUUCCCCCAAUAGAUGUCUCCCCGCCGCAUUAGCUAGUUGGUAAGGUAACGGCUUACCAAGGCAACGAUGCGUAGCCGACCUGAGAGGGUGAUCGGCCACACUGGAACUGAGACACGGUCCAGACUCCUACGGGAGGCAGCAGUAGGGAAUCUUCCGCAAUGGGCGAAAGCCUGACGGAGCAACGCCGCGUGAGUGAUGAAGGUCUUCGGAUCGUAAAACUCUGUUAUUAGGGAAGAACAAAUGUGUAAGUAACUGUGCACGUAUUGACGGUACCUAAUCAGAAAGCCACGGCUAACUACGUG